CGCUGUAACUCAGAGUGUAUUUCACACAGUGGAUGUGAUGAGGGUUGGACUCUGAUCACUCAUGAAAAGUUUCAGGCUGAUUUGAUGAUGUAGAGGCCAGUUAUACAGCAUUUACUGUCCCUCCAACAGGUGGCGCCGCGACUGAGAGUGUCUGUUGGCCUGUAGAUGUGAUCAGGAUUGGAUUGUGAUCACACAUGGAAAGUUUGAGGCAGAUUGGAGCAUGCAGAGGAGAGUUAUACAGCAGUUGAUGUUUCAUGGCGAAGCAUCAAAACGCUGAUGGUCGCCAUGGCCACACCAUUUGGCUUCUGGUUAAACUUUUGAUAACUUUUCAUCACCAAGUCCUGCUGUGUGGACUGACAAAAUUUCAGGUCUCCUGGAAUUAUCCCCUAGGAGGUAUUAACUCUCAAAAAUGAGAAAAAUCAUCAAAAAUCUCACAAUUAAUCCAAGAUGGCUGACUUCCUGUUGGGUUUAGGACAUGGCUCCAAGAGGCUUUUUUGUGCGUCCUGAUGUGCUCUAUAAGCCUCCCAAAUUUCAUGGAUGUAGGUGAAACGUGCUGGGGGGGCUGUUUGUUAAAAAUACUGUAGGGGGCGCUAUAGCAUGUGCAGUGCCGAGAUGCAUACAGUGUUGUUCCUUGGGUCAAUGGUGAUGUGUGUGGUAAUUUUUGUGAGCAUUGGAGUAUUCCUAACCUGUCAGAAAGGGCUUUGUUUUUCAUGGCGAUAUUUGGUUGCUACGGCAACAGCGUUACAUGAAAUGUCACACCCUUCACAGUGUGUGAUUGUCAAGAGGUGAAGACUCGACUGACCAAUUUCCAGCAUGAUAUCACCAAGUUUGGGGCCAUUGUACCUGAAAAUAUAAGGCCUUAAACUUACUAUUACCAACAGGUGGCGCUAUGACUUUUUCAGAAUUUAUGAGUGUGGAUGUGUUCAGACUGGACCUGGUGUCCAUCAUGUGAAGUUUGGGGCAGAUAGGAUCUUGUUCAGCUGAGAUAUGAAUCGUUAAAGUUUCAUGGCGAAACAUCGAAAUUGGUUUGGCCGCCACAGACACGCCCUUUGAUGACAAGCCACCAUUUUCACUGGGAUGCAUCAUCAAUGUGUUCAGGCUGUUGUCACCGCAUUUGAAGUGAAUAUGAUCAACCGGG
Molecule: long non-coding RNA, 1138 nt
Organism: Acanthochromis polyacanthus (spiny chromis)
Lineage: Eukaryota; Metazoa; Chordata; Actinopteri; Pomacentridae
Exons: 3
Source: RefSeq, a predicted model, not a curated record